GCUAGGCACAGUGGCGUGUGCCUGUAAUCCCAGGAGGCUGAGGCAGGAGGAUCACUUGAGACCGGGAGUUCAAAGUUGCAGUGAGCUAUGAUCAUGCCACUGUAUUCCAGCCUGGGCAACAGAGCAAGACCCUGUCUCAU
Pongo abelii (Sumatran orangutan) is the source of this 140-nucleotide unclassified non-coding RNA. It matches the Rfam family "Metazoan signal recognition particle RNA". Rfam says of the family: The signal recognition particle (SRP) is a universally conserved ribonucleoprotein. NCBI's taxonomy places the organism in Eukaryota, Metazoa, Chordata, Mammalia, Primates, Hominidae. The record is from Ensembl.